AUUGAACGCUGGCGGCAUGCUUUACACAUGCAAGUCGAACGGCAGCGCGGGCUUCGGCCUGGCGGCGAGUGGCGAACGGGUGAGUAAUACAUCGGAACGUGCCCAGUAGUGGGGGAUAGCUCGGCGAAAGCCGGAUUAAUACCGCAUACGACCUGAGGGUGAAAGCGGGGGAUCUUCGGACCUCGCGCUAUUGGAGUGGCCGAUGGCAGAUUAGCUAGUUGGUGGGGUAUAGGCCUACCAAGGCGACGAUCUGUAGCUGGUCUGAGAGGACGACCAGCCACACUGGGACUGAGACACGGCCCAGACUCCUACGGGAGGCAGCAGUGGGGAAUUUUGGACAAUGGGCGAAAGCCUGAUCCAGCAAUGCCGCGUGUGUGAUGAAGGCCUUCGGGUUGUAAAGCACUUUUGGCGGGAACGAAAAGGACUGUGCCAAUACCACGGUUCGAUGACGGUACCCGCAGAAUAAGCACCGGCUAACUACGUG
Molecule: ribosomal RNA, 484 nt
Filed under: uncultured bacterium
Lineage: Bacteria
Description: partial 16S ribosomal RNA
Rfam family: Bacterial small subunit ribosomal RNA
Source: RNAcentral